This 547-nucleotide ribosomal RNA is filed under the name Nakazawaea molendinolei. RNAcentral describes it as "partial large subunit ribosomal RNA". It matches the Rfam family "Eukaryotic large subunit ribosomal RNA", at positions 100 to 664 of the family's 3401-position model. Lineage: Eukaryota; Fungi; Ascomycota; Pichiomycetes; Alaninales; Pachysolenaceae. The record is from RNAcentral.
GGCAAGAGCUCAAAUUUGAAAUCUAGCACUUUCAGUGUUCGAGUUGUAAUUUGAAGAAGGUAUCUUUGGAGUUGGCCCCUGUCUAUGUUCCUUGGAACAGGACGUCACAGAGGGUGAGAAUCCCGUGCGAUGGGGAGACCAAUUCUUUGUAAAGUUCCUUCGAAGAGUCGAGUUGUUUGGGAAUGCAGCUCUAAGUGGGUGGUAAAUUCCAUCUAAAGCUAAAUAUUGGCGAGAGACCGAUAGCGAACAAGUACAGUGAUGGAAAGAUGAAAAGAACUUUGAAAAGAGAGUGAAAAAGUACGUGAAAUUGUUGAAAGGGAAGGGCUUUUGAUCAGACUUGGUGUUUAACGAUCUCUUCUCCUUGUGGGAGGGGCUCUUGUUUUAUACUGGGCCAGCAUCGGUUUGGAUGGCAGGAUAAUGACAUUGGAACGUGGCUUCAUUCGUGAAGUGUUAUAGCCUUUGUUGAUACUGCCUAUCUAGACCGAGGACUGCGUCUUUGACUAGGAUGCUGGCGUAAUGAUUAAAAGCCGCCCGUCUUGAAACACGG